Molecule: non-coding RNA, 1307 nt
Filed under: Diatrypasimilis australiensis
Lineage: Eukaryota; Fungi; Ascomycota; Sordariomycetes; Xylariales
Source: RNAcentral
UCUUUAUUUGUAUUAUUUAUGUUCGAGUCUCGUUUUUUCCCUCAUAAUUAUAUAAGCACCUUUCUUUAUGUCUACAUCAUACAAGCCGGGCUCAGCCCGCAUACGCACUUUCCCUCUCCCGCGCACUCUCUCCGCAUCAUGUUUCGGUGGUGGGACUCCACCGUUAGGUGGUGCGGAUUGAAGCACCGGGGCUGGUGGCACCUGUGGGAGACGGACUUUCCCUUCUCUAACAUCCCCACCACGUCUUCCCAUCCCCCCCAGGCACGGAUCGCGAGGCGAUGAAGCAGCUGGGGCAUGCGGCGCGGCGUUUGAGCUCCAGCCCCAUUGGGCGCCCGAGUCGUCAUCCUCGGAAAUAAGGGCGCCAUUUGCACAUGGCCGCCGUGUGCUUGCCCUCGCCCGGUUGCUAACCAGCAUCCAAGCUGGUUCGUAGAUGCUGGGGAGGUCGCGGGCGCUGGUCCUCGGGCGGGAAGGCCGUUGCACUGUCCCAGCAGCGAUCUCACCGCCACGGGGGGCGUGCAAACCUCCCACAGCUCACGCUCUGUCUUGGACGCUGUGCUGGGCCAGCGUACCGUCGCGCCAUCUGGCACCUGGGUCGUCGCCAGGCCUCUGGCCAAGCCUGCUAGGCUUGCAGGCCUGGACGAUGCGGCGGGGGCGGUAGUGGUAAUGGUGGUGGUGGUGGUGGUGGUGGUGAUACCGUUAGCAGCGGUGCUGGUCGAGACGACGGUGGUAGUGGUAGUGGUGGUGGUUUCACCUCCCAGCCCGCUACCGUCUUCUCCGGCGCUGCCCUCGCCGCUGCCGCCGCCGUCUUCCUCCCCCGGGCUCUUCCUCUUUCUUCCUCCGCUUACCGCGGCCCUUACCGGGCUGUCCUGGGCACUGGGGGCGGCAAAGUACGAGGUGAUGGUGCCUUGGCCGGGGGGGGCCGGCGGGUGCGCUGUUUUUUAGCGGGCAUGGCGAAUGGAGACUGAUACUGAGAUCAAGAGAAAGAGACUACAGCAAGGGGGGGUUUCGGGGGUUCUAGGGUGAGCGACGAGGAGAGCAGAGUCUCUGGAGCCAUGUUAGAAAUGCAGACUCUUGCCGGCCUCGCUCGCUCGCUCUUACUCUCUCACCUCCUCCCUUUGUCGAGAGGGAAGGAAGCCCUCUGCUACCUGUGGGAUAUCGUCUCUAUCUGGUAUCGCUUCAUCACCAUGCCUGUCGCUUUCCAUUCUACCCGUUGCUCUCUUCCUUUUUCCCCUUAUUAAUUUAUUUGCUUUUGCCCACUCCUUAUUUACCGAGGCCUUUUUGCUAACGAGAUUUUCAGGUGGAGUGAU